Molecule: ribosomal RNA, 429 nt
Filed under: Gemmatimonadota bacterium
Lineage: Bacteria; Pseudomonadati; Gemmatimonadota
Description: Gemmatimonadetes bacterium partial 16S ribosomal RNA
Rfam family: Bacterial small subunit ribosomal RNA
Source: RNAcentral
UAGGGAAUCUUCGGCAAUGGACGAAAGUCUGACCGAGCAACGCCGCGUGAGUGAAGAAGGUUUUCGGAUCGUAAAACUCUGUUGUUCGAGAAGAACAAGGACGUUAGUAACUGAACGUCCCCUGACGGUAUCUAACCAGAAAGCCACGGCUAACUACGUGCCAGCAGCCGCGGUAAUACGUAGGUGGCAAGCGUUGUCCGGAUUUAUUGGGCGUAAAGCGAGCGCAGGCGGUUUCUUAAGUCUGAUGUGAAAGCCCCCGGCUCAACCGGGGAGGGUCAUUGGAAACUGGGAGACUUGAGUGCAGAAGAGGAGAGUGGAAUUCCAUGUGUAGCGGUGAAAUGCGUAGAUAUAUAGAGGAACACCAGUGGCGAAGGUGGCUCUCUGGUCUGUAACUGACGCUGAGGCUCGAAAGCGUGGGGAGCAAACAGG